AUUUGGGAACACCACAGAGGUGAAGUGCUCUCAUCACACAAUAUCAGAGACAGAUACAUUGAUAACUCCAUUUGUGGGUUUAAUAGACCACAACUUCCAGGCCCAGCCGAAUCCUGCUGAAGUUAAGGAUGUAUUUCUGGUGCCUCUGGCCUAUUUCCUGCAUCCACAGGUCCAUGACCAGCAUUACGUCACACGUCUUGGUCACCGUUUUAUUAAUCAUAUCUUUGAGUACACAAACCCUGAAGAUGGUGUCACUUACCAGAUCAAGGGAAUGACGGCAAACCUUGCAGUGUUGGUGGCAUUUAUCAUUUUGGAAAAAAAACCCACCUUUGAGGUUCAAUUUAAUCUUAAUGAUGUAUUAUCAUCCUCUGAAGAGUUAUUCCUGAAGGUUCAUAAAAAAGCUACAAGCAAGUUAUGAUUUACGAGACCAAGAGACAAAGAACUAUCCACGAGGAUUCUGUGUGUGCUUAUUCAUAGAACAACAAUAAUGACAGCUGUUGGAAUUUGACAGGUGUGAAUAUUUUUUCUGCAGUAUGUAGUUAGAAUCUUUGCCUCUUUUCCAGUUGCCUUCUAUUGUCUGAAAAAGUAAAAGCCAUUCAAAAAUGAAAAAUAUGUUCAUAGUGUUGCAUAUUUUCACCCACAAUAUGUUAAUAAUAUUUUUCUUACACAUAUAAGAAAGAAUAUCUGGCACGUAGUAGGCCCUUAAUAAAGAUUUUUUGAAUAUA
RNAcentral lists this small RNA (725 nucleotides) under Pongo abelii (Sumatran orangutan). RNAcentral describes it as "processed transcript". Lineage: Eukaryota; Metazoa; Chordata; Mammalia; Primates; Hominidae. The record is from RNAcentral.